This 622-nucleotide ribosomal RNA is filed under the name uncultured bacterium. Its description in RNAcentral is "bacterial SSU rRNA". It matches the Rfam family "Bacterial small subunit ribosomal RNA", at positions 58 to 669 of the family's 1533-position model. The record is from RNAcentral.
CAAGUCGAACGGCAGCACGAGAGAGCUUGCUCUCUUGGUGGCGAGUGGCGGACGGGUGAGUAAUAUAUCGGAACGUGCCCAGUAGCGGGGGAUAACUACUCGAAAGAGUGGCUAAUACCGCAUACGCCCUACGGGGGAAAGGGGGGGAUCGCAAGACCUCUCACUAUUGGAGCGGCCGAUAUCGGAUUAGCUAGUUGGUGGGGUAAAGGCUCACCAAGGCAACGAUCCGUAGCUGGUUUGAGAGGACGACCAGCCACACUGGGACUGAGACACGGCCCAGACUCCUACGGGAGGCAGCAGUGGGGAAUUUUGGACAAUGGGGGAAACCCUGAUCCAGCCAUCCCGCGUGUAUGAUGAAGGCCUUCGGGUUGUAAAGUACUUUUGGCAGAGAAGAAAAGGCAUCCCCUAAUACGGGAUGCUGCUGACGGUAUCUGCAGAAUAAGCACCGGCUAACUACGUGCCAGCAGCCGCGGUAAUACGUAGGGUGCAAGCGUUAAUCGGAAUUACUGGGCGUAAAGCGUGUGUAGGCGGUUCGGAAAGAAAGAUGUGAAAUCCCAGGGCUCAACCUUGGAACUGCAUUUUUAACUGCCGAGCUAGAGUAUGUCAGAGGGGGGUAGAAUUC